RNAcentral lists this ribosomal RNA (688 nucleotides) under bacterium IMCC11807. RNAcentral describes it as "bacterial SSU rRNA". It matches the Rfam family "Bacterial small subunit ribosomal RNA", at positions 28 to 748 of the family's 1533-position model. The record is from RNAcentral.
AACGUACGCUGGACGGCACGCAUUACACAUGCGAAGUCGAGACGCAUGUAGCUAAUACUUAGCUGGCAGACGGGUGAGUAACAUGUAGGUAUCGUGCCCUAUUGGCUCUGGAAUAACACGAGGAAACUUGUGCUUAUACCGGAUAAGUCUUUACGGAGAAAGCUUUAUGCACCAUUGGAUGAGCCUGCACUCGAUUAGUUUGUUGGUGGGGUAAUGGCUUACCAAGGCUGUGAUCAAUAGCUGAUUUGAGAGGAUGAUCAGCCACAUUGGGACUGAGACACGGCCCAAACUCCUACGGGAGGCAGCAGUGGGGAAUCUUGCACAAUGGAGGAAACUCCUGAUGCCAGCGAUGCCGCGUGAGUGAAGAAGGCCCUUGGGUUGUAAAGCUCUUUCGUCGGGGAAGAAAAUGACUGUACCCUGCAUAAAGAAGGUCCGGCUAACUUCGUGCCAGCAGCCGCGGUAAUACGAAGGGGCCUAGCGUAGUUCGGAAUUACUGGGCUUAAAGAGCUCGUAGGCGGUUGAAAAAGUUAGUGGUGAAAUCCCCGAGCUCAACUCGGGAACUGCCAUUAAAACUUUUCAUCUAGAGUAUGAUAGAGGAAAGCAGAAUUUCCAGUGUAGAGGUGAAAUUCGUAGAUAUUAGAAAGAAUACCAGUGGCGAAGGCAGCUUUCUGGCUCAUUACUGACGCUG